UAUUGAAGUCAAACAAUUUCUAUACAUUUUCUAGAAAUAUUUGUUAAAUGUACAUAUUCAUCCUUAUUUUCUGCAUGAAAAACAUCUUUCAAUAAUUUAUUUACCAGUUUAAUAUUUUGGGAUACCAUUGUCAAGGGGUACAAUCAAAAUCAUGUGAUGGAUAUACACACACCGGAAGUAACAGUCGAGCAGACCGCUUGAAAGGUACUUUCUGUGGCAUGUUUUCAUGGUGUGGGAAUAAGACUUGGUGGUCAAAUACAGCUAAUAUGUAGGUUAGCACCACAGCUUGUCUGCAAGGAUUGAAGCUGGGAAACGGCCAUUGGAGCUGAAUUUUAUGGAAGCUGUGGCUGCAGCAAUGAUUAUGUGAUAAAACUGAAGAAUGUUAUUCAAUUUUUUUUUGUAUAUAUUUCAAAAAAUGUAAUUUUUUAUAAAAAAAAAAAAAAAAAAAAAAAAGGUGUAAAGAUUCUCCAUUUUCAAUUAGAUUGGAAGCUUGUAUUUACAAUUGUUAGAUCUUCUUCGUUAUUCCGCCACCCCCUGUAUCUCUAUUUCAUUUUUACUUUGAAAAUGAAAUGGAACAGACAAAUUUUACUUGUCAACUUAAUAAUAGUCUGUCUAGUCAAAAGGCCUCCAGUUGGUUUAGAAUGGAGAAUCUAAAAAAAAAUAUGUAAAGUGUUUUUUUUUAGUUUCCUGAAUUUUUAUAUACAUUUUGUUAUUGCUCCCUUUCAAUUUUUAUAAAUUCCAGAUUUUAAGUUUUGGAUUUAUGGGGCUUUAUUCAUAAAAAAGGGGGAUUUUUCACACCUGGACAAUAACUCAAAAAGGCUUUCACCAAUGUCCAUGAAACUUUUAUGAAUUGUUUAUAUCUAUUGACAUAAGCUCCCUUUCCCUUUUUAUUAAUUUUAGAUUUUACGUUUUCUUAAGUAAUGAAUUUUUAUACUUAAAAAAGGGGGAUUUUAUGCAGUUUUGGUGAAACUUAAAAGAGCAACGGCCGUAUCAUGUGCUAAAGCGCAUCCCUUUAUUGAAAUGUGUUGUAGUUUUUACAUAUUAUUAUUUCUUUAUUUUAAUUAUACAAAUUUUGUAUUGUUAAAUAUUUAAAGGGUGUGGAGUCUCAACAGUGUGAAAUUUUCAGGACAAAAGGGAGGUAAUUCCUUUGUUAUACUCAUUAUACUUGAAAUUUCCUGAGUGUUUAUAUGGAAUAUAACUUUUUUAAUUAAAAUAUUCACUUUUGUACACAUUUUCUUUAAAUAUCAGAUGUAUACUUGCUAAAAUUACUUUUAUUUAGAGUUCUGUAAAUAAAAAAAAAUGUAAACAGAGCUCUAGCUAUAGAUAAUAGAUUUGGAGGGUGGGAGAAAUUGUGGGUAACUACAAUUGAUUAGGUGAAAUUUCAAAAGACUUAAAAAGUGCAUCUGAUAUUUAUUUUUACAUAAUGUUAUUUCUGAAAGCAAAUGGACAAUAAGAUGAGGACAUAAACCACCUUCCAGGUUAGGAUAGCAGCUCUUAAGGAAGAUGGUCAAUUAAAUCUUCAACCCAGUCUGAGGCCUUACCAUGAAAAAUAUGUGGUUGUUGAAAUUACAAUGUUUUCAUGGUGUGGGGAGUAAGACUUGAAUAUCUGAUAUUGUUAACAUGAUGUUGAAAGUGUCACCUUUGCUGCCUUGUGUGGUACAAUCUUCAGACAAUAUCCUGCAAACUGUGGCUGAACUGUUACUAUCUUUUUUUAGUAGAAUCCUUAGACAGUAAUCUUGUGGCAGAAUGAGUUGUAAACAAAUUGUUUUUAUUCCUGUAUUGAGUUUCAAAUUGGAUAUUUUUGUAUUUAUAUUAUUUGUAUUCCAUUUGCAUUCAAUUAUUGUUUUUUAAUUGAUGAAUCAUUAAAACUUAAAUUUUGCGGGGUCCUAAAGGACUUUCUUAGAGGGGGCCAGCGCAAUUGAUUAAACAAAAUUUUUCCCGCAACAGGGAGAGGAGACAUCCCCAUAAAUAUGCCUUUGAAAUGGGGUGUUAAAGAAGAUUUGUAUUGUUUGUUUGUUUGUCCAUCAUCAGCUCUCAUCCACAGCUUGGUAGAUUUUCAUUGAAACUUUCAGCUGAUUUUCUGUACUAAAGGCAGUAUGUUUUUU
Long non-coding RNA from Mytilus trossulus (common blue mussel), 2105 nucleotides. RefSeq lists it as uncharacterized. The transcript has 6 exons. The record is from RefSeq and is a predicted model, not a curated record. Lineage: Eukaryota; Metazoa; Mollusca; Bivalvia; Mytilida; Mytilidae.